Non-coding RNA from Cinara cedri, 281 nucleotides. The record is from the annotation of a GenBank genome assembly. NCBI's taxonomy places the organism in Eukaryota, Metazoa, Arthropoda, Insecta, Hemiptera, Aphididae.
UCCUACAUUUUCGAUUACCUCCUCCCCUACAAUAAUACGAUUAUUCUACCCAUGAGCACGAUAUAUCCUGCACGAUAUACAAAACGCCCGCAAUGUACUAGCAUUUUUUUUUUAUGUAUACUUCCUGUUCCGCCGGAUCAUAUAAAACGUUUCCAAAGCUGAAUUCUAUUAUUUCGGAUUUUCGAUUGUAAAUAAUGCGUAUAGUGUUGUAAUCCGUUUGUUUUAUUCGAAAAACACGUAUAUAAAUAUGUAUAUCUAUUUAUAGGUAAUAAUAUAUAUUA